RNAcentral lists this ribosomal RNA (319 nucleotides) under uncultured eukaryote. Its description in RNAcentral is "partial 18S ribosomal RNA". It matches the Rfam family "Eukaryotic small subunit ribosomal RNA", at positions 1470 to 1796 of the family's 1831-position model. The record is from RNAcentral.
CCCUUAGAUGUCCUGGGCCGCACGCGUGCUACACUGACGCCUACAGCGAGUACUUCCCAGCCCCGAGAGGUGGCUGGUAAUCAGCAAUAGGCGUCGUGAUGGGGAUAGAUCUUUGGAAUUAUGGAUCUUGAAUGAGGAAUGCCUAGUAAGCGCAGGUCAUUAGCCUGCGCUGAUUAAGUCCCUGCCCUUUGUACACACCGCCCGUCGCUCCUACCGAUUUCGAGUGGUCCGGUGAAUCUUUCGGACUGCGCGCGGCCUCGUGCCGUGUCGCGGAAAGUCAGGUAAACCUUAUCACUUAGAGGAAGGAGAAGUCGUAACA